GACGAACGCUGGCGGCGUGCCUAAUACAUGCAAGUCGAACGGUUUAGUUCCAAGAGGCUUGCCUUUUGGAACUAGACAGUGGCGGACGGGUGAGUAACACGUAGGCAACCUACCUGUCAAACCGGGAUAACCUCGGGAAACCGAAGCUAAACCCGGAUAAGCUCCUUUUUCGCAUGAAGGGGGAGUGAAAAGGUGCGACCUGAUGACAGAUGGGCCUGCGGCGCAUUAGCUAGUAGGUAGGGUAACGGCCUACCUAGGCGAUGAUGCGUAGCCGACCUGAGAGGGCGUACGGCCACACUGGGACUGAGAUACGGCCCAGGCUCCUACGGGAGGCAGCAGUAGGGAAUCUUCGGCAAUGGGCGAAAGCCUGACCGAGCAACGCCGCGUGAGUGAGGAAGGCCUUCGGGGUGUAAAACUCUGUUGUUUGGGAAGAAGGGAAAGGGUAGGACCCUUUGGUGACGGUACCAAACGAGAAAGCCCCGGCUAACUACGUG
Molecule: ribosomal RNA, 494 nt
Filed under: uncultured bacterium
Lineage: Bacteria
Description: partial 16S ribosomal RNA
Rfam family: Bacterial small subunit ribosomal RNA
Source: RNAcentral